CUUGUUUCUUUGCAAGUUUUAUUGAAAGUAAAAUUUGGUUUUGUUGUCACUGUUUGUGUUGUUGCUAAUAAACUUUUUACCCUUCAAUUCUUUCUUCGAAUAGCAACGAAAAUAAUUGUCAAUACAAAUCAAAGCGUGUGAGGUUUUAACAAAGUUACGAGUACACAAGAAGGGCAUCACGUGAUCUCCAAUUUCAGGUUUCUUACCAAGAAUAUUCGAAAAAUUAUGCAGAAGGUUUCAAGGUUUAAUAAAAAUGGAGAUAUCUAAACAUGUAGUCUACUAAAUGUACUGCUUUACGCAACUCCCUUAGGCUCUCAAAAGUCAUUGCCACAUACUCUCAGAAAACAGGGAUGUCCGCAGAUACCCAGAUAUAAGUACAGUAAUCUAUCAAUUGAUAUCAUCAAGCUUAAUGAGAUCGUCCCAAUAUGAAAGAUUACUGCUGAUCCUUAAAAAGAAAAUCCGACAAAGCAACAUAUUAUAAAUAUAUCUGUUAUUUUGUUUCAUAUUUUCAGAUUUUUGUAAUGUAAAAUGAAAAUAAAGAUUUAAAAACAAACGAGAGCAAAUCUUAAAAAUCAUUGAUAGGACCAGAUAGGAUAGAUUGUGAGCACAAAUAUAUCCCCAUCGAUCUUAUAACUAAGGCAAUUAAGCCACUGUAGACCAGUAUACGAAUAUUUUAUUUGGAGAGCUGUGGCAUUAGUUGGUCGAAAUUGUGAAAAGACGCAAAAUGGGCUUCGAUUCUAACCAGCAAGUCCAUUAAUUUUCUUGUGGAUAUCCAUGCGACAAUAAAGGCUAUCCACGAACUCUCACUGCAAAAGACUAUGUACGAAGGCAAUAAUUAGACUUUCAAUGGAAAUCACCGUGAACCUCGUCUCUGGAAAGAAGAUGUUAUUUUCAGCUUAAAGGAUUAUACGUAAGAUAAAUAAAAUCGGGCUUUUACUCCUCUAAUUCAUCCUAAAUGUAGGCAACAUUUAAUGAUGAAAAUAUCAAGUAAUAAAAUUUUGUCUACAUCUAAGCGCCCAGUUGAAUUUAAAGGACACAUCUAGUGAGCAAAACUAAUAUAAAGGCGGACUUUUUAAAUUAAACAAAAAUUAU
Non-coding RNA from Bactrocera oleae (olive fruit fly), 1092 nucleotides. The record is from RefSeq and is a predicted model, not a curated record. NCBI's taxonomy places the organism in Eukaryota, Metazoa, Arthropoda, Insecta, Diptera, Tephritidae.